CCAGGCUUCAAACCGAAGCCAGCAGUGAGGAAUUUUGGACAAUGAGCGAAAGCUUGAUCCAGCAAUACUACGUGGGGGAAGAAGGCUCAAUUGGUCGUAAACCCCUUUCAUUAGGGAGGAUAAAGACAGUACCUAAAGAAGAAGCUCCGGCCAACUUCGUGCCAGCAGCCGCGGUAAUACGAAGGGAGCGAGCGUUAUCCGGAUUGAUUGGGCGUAAAGGGUCCGUAGGCGGCCUUGAGUAGUCAAAAGUAAAAGGUUAAAGCUCAACUUUAAAAUUGCUUUUAAAAAAAACGUCAAGGCUUGAGUUUGAAAGAGGAUAGCAGAAUUUUAUAUGGAGGGGUGAAAUCCUAAGAUAUAUGAAGGAAUACCAACGGCGAAGGCAGCUAUCUGGGUCAAUACUGACGCUGAGGGACGAAAGCACGGGUAGCAAAAAGGAUUUGAUACCCUCUUAGUCCGUGCCGUAAACGAUGAGUGCUCGUGCUCAGACGUAAGAUUUGGGCACUUAGGUAACCCAUUAAGCACUCCGCCUGAGAAGUACGAUCGCAAGAUUGGAACUCAAAGGAAUUGGCGGGGGUUCAUACAAGUGGUGGAACAUGUGGUUUAAUGCGAUAAUCCGCGCGAAACCUUACCAGUUCUAGACAUUUUUCUUUUUUUUUAAGAUUAAAAAGAUAAUCAGGUGUUGCAUGGCUGUCGUCAGCUCGUGUUGUGAAAUGUUUGGUUAAGUCCUUUAACGAGCGCAACCCUUGUACUUAGUUGACUUCGGUGACUCUAAGUAGACUGCCCACUAGGAUAGUGGGAGAAAGGUAAGGAUGACGUCAAGUCCUCAUGGCCCUUAUGAACUGGGCUACACACGUGUUACAAUGGUAAGAACAAUGAGAAGCGAUCUUGUAAAAGUGAGCAAACCUAUAAAUCUUAUCUUAGUUCGGAUUGUGGGCUGCAACUCGCCCACAUGAAGUUGGAAUCACUAGUAAUCGCAAAUCAUCACGUUGCGGUGAAUAUGUACCUGAAC
RNAcentral lists this ribosomal RNA (1009 nucleotides) under Heterosigma akashiwo. It matches the Rfam family "Bacterial small subunit ribosomal RNA", at positions 331 to 1379 of the family's 1533-position model. Lineage: Eukaryota; Raphidophyceae; Chattonellales; Chattonellaceae. The record is from RNAcentral.